AUGCCGAUGUUUCAAAAUGAAGAAUGUGAUGCCAGUGUUGGUUCUAUUGCUAAAGCGUUUGUCCCCACUGGCAUGCUCAACUCAGAUAGUGCUGAUGUUGUUUUAUAUUCUCUACGUCAGAAGUACCGAGACACUGACAAGUUGAUAGUUCCCAGAUGGCUUAUUUUCCCUACUUUUGAUCCGCCGUCAUUUGCGGCUCCCAUGAAGCCUAGCGACGUAUCUGGUCAUUGGUGCUUGAUUGUUCUGAAUUUGAGGUUCCGUCAUUUCGAGUGUCUUGAUUCACGACACGAUGAAACCUGGAGUGAUGUAGAUAGAUUCUUAAGGACUAUGACAGAUAACAUCAAGAAGCUUUGGAGGGAGUCCAGCGUAGACAGGGCCAAACCGUUCUCACCGGUGCAUAUUGAUGGUUUCUCUUGCGAGUUUGUGCGGGUGCCACAGCAGAAAAACACCCAUGAAGACAUUCUUGACAUUAGGAAGACUUUCCUGUAUACCUGCGCAAUUAGUGAUCUAUUUGAUGUUGACUUUCGUGGUUUGUUUGGCAUCGAACCCUAUACUGGAUGGAUCUUGAUGAGCAUGACUACAAGAUCUUUAGCAGCCAGUUCUCGGAAAGGUCUGGUGUUAUUAAGGGGCGGUUGGGAGCUCUGA
This 645-nucleotide ribosomal RNA is filed under the name Triticum aestivum (bread wheat). RNAcentral describes it as "partial small subunit ribosomal RNA". The record is from RNAcentral. Lineage: Eukaryota; Viridiplantae; Streptophyta; Magnoliopsida; Poales; Poaceae.